RNAcentral lists this ribosomal RNA (492 nucleotides) under uncultured bacterium. Its description in RNAcentral is "partial 16S ribosomal RNA". It matches the Rfam family "Bacterial small subunit ribosomal RNA", at positions 29 to 507 of the family's 1533-position model. The record is from RNAcentral.
AGUGAACGCUGGCGGUAGGCCUAACACAUGUAAGUCGAACGGCAGCACAGUAAGAGCUUGCUCUUACGGGUGGCGAGUGGCGGACGGGUGAGGAAUACAUCGGAAUCUACUUUUUCGUGGGGGAUAACGUAGGGAAACUUACGCUAAUACCGCAUACGACCUACGGGUGAAAGCAGGGGAUCUUCGGACCUUGCGCGAUUGAAUGAGCCGAUGUCGGAUUAGCUAGUUGGCGGGGUAAAGGCCCACCAAGGCGACGAUCCGUAGCUGGUCUGGGAGGAUGAUCAGCCACACUGGAACUGAGACACGGUCCAGACUCCUACGGGAGGCAGCAGUGGGGAAUAUUGGACAAUGGGCGCAAGCCUGAUCCAGCCAUACCGCGUGGGUGAAGAAGGCCUUCGGGUUGUAAAGCCCUUUUGUUGGGAAAGAAAAGCAGCAGGUUAAUACCCCGCUGUUCUGACGGUACCCAAAGAAUAAGCACUGGCUAACUUCGUG